RNAcentral lists this ribosomal RNA (883 nucleotides) under Cystoderma sp. RNAcentral describes it as "partial large subunit ribosomal RNA". It matches the Rfam family "Eukaryotic large subunit ribosomal RNA", at positions 70 to 937 of the family's 3401-position model. Lineage: Eukaryota; Fungi; Basidiomycota; Agaricomycetes; Agaricales; Squamanitaceae. The record is from RNAcentral.
AAGGAUUCCCCUAGUAACUGCGAGUGAAGCGGGAAAAGCUCAAAUUUAAAAUCUGGCGGUCUUGGGCCGUCCGAGUUGUAAUCUAGAGAAGUGUUAUCCGCGCUGGACCGUGUACAAGUCUCCUGGAAUGGAGCGUCAUAGAGGGUGAGAAUCCCGUCUUUGACACGGACUACCAGGGCUUUGUGAUGCGCUCUCAAAGAGUCGAGUUGUUUGGGAAUGCAGCUCAAAAUGGGUGGUAAAUUCCAUCUAAAGCUAAAUAUUGGCGAGAGACCGAUAGCGAACAAGUACCGUGAGGGAAAGAUGAAAAGAACUUUGGAAAGAGAGUUAAACAGUACGUGAAAUUGCUGAAAGGGAAACGCUUGAAGUCAGUCGCGUUGACCAGGGAUCAACCUUGCUUUUGCUUGGCGUAUUUCCUGGUUUACGGGUCAGCAUCAAUUUUGACCGUUGGAAAAAGUGCAAAGGAAUGUGGCAUCCUUUUGGAUGUGUUAUAGCCCUUGCUCGUAUACAACGGUUGGGAUUGAGGAACUCAGCACGCCGCAAGGCCGGGUUUUUAACCACGUUCGUGCUUAGGAUGCUGGCAUAAUGGCUUUAAUCGACCCGUCUUGAAACACGGACCAAGGAGUCUAACAUGCCUGCGAGUGUUUGGGUGGAAAACCCGAGCGCGCAAUGAAAGUGAAAGUUGAGAUCCCUGUCGUGGGGAGCAUCGACGCCCGGACCAGACCUUUUGUGACGGAUCCGCGGUAGAGCAUGUAUGUUGGGACCCGAAAGAUGGUGAACUAUGCCUGAAUAGGGUGAAGCCAGAGGAAACUCUGGUGGAGGCUCGUAGCGAUUCUGACGUGCAAAUCGAUCGUCAAAUUUGGGUAUAGGGGCGAAAGACUAAUCG